CUACGGGAUGCAGCAGUGGGGAAUAUUGCACAAUGGAGGAAACUCUGAUGCAGCAACGCCGCGUGGAGGAUGACACUUUUCGGAGCGUAAACUCCUUUUAUAUAGGAAGAAGAUGACGGUACUAUAUGAAUAAGCGCCGGCUAACUCCGUGCCAGCAGCCGCGGUAAUAAGGAGGGCGCAAGCGUUACUCGGAAUCACUGGGCGUAAAGAGCGUGUAGGCGGAUUAAAAAGUCAGAAGUGAAAUCCUAUAGCUUAACUAUAGAACUGCUUCUGAAACUCUUAAUCUAGAAUAUGGGAGAGGUAGAUGGAAUUUCUGGUGUAGGGGUAAAAUCCGUAGGGAUCAGAAGGAAUACCGAUUGCGAAGGCGAUCUACUAGAACAUUAUUGACGCUGAGACGCGAAAGCGUGGGGAGCAAACAGGAUUAGAUACCCUCGUAGUC
RNAcentral lists this ribosomal RNA (439 nucleotides) under uncultured bacterium. Its description in RNAcentral is "partial 16S ribosomal RNA". It matches the Rfam family "Bacterial small subunit ribosomal RNA", at positions 339 to 795 of the family's 1533-position model. The record is from RNAcentral.